Molecule: long non-coding RNA, 475 nt
Organism: Vespa mandarinia (Asian giant hornet)
Lineage: Eukaryota; Metazoa; Arthropoda; Insecta; Hymenoptera; Vespidae
Source: RefSeq, a predicted model, not a curated record
UUAAUUAAUGUUAUUAAUAAUUAUUUUAAAACUUUACUAAUACAAUCAAUUAUAUCGAUCGAGUUAAAAUAUGUUACACAUAAUAUAUACGUAUCAUGAUAUUAAGGCUGUUCACCACCUAUUACUCAUAACGUAUGCGACUUCAGCGACAAGUAUGCAUAAAAUAUAAACUACAAACGUAUUAGGGAAACUAAUUCACUCACUAUGCGCCUAUUAUAUCGAUAUAUAAGCUUAUAGAAGUUAAACCCCUUUCAUGCAUAACCUAACAAUAGCAUUAGUAUGUGAGAAAAUUUUUAUAUACAGUUCAAUUAGUAGUAUAUCUGAUAAAAUUAAAUUUAUACAAAUAGUUAAAGAGAGAAAAUCACUGAUGAAUAUCUUGAAUUUUGUAAUAUGUGAUUAUGAUGACGAAGAUAAGUAUAUAAAAUAGAAAAUUAUAAUAUUUAAUCUGAAAAACGUAAAUAAAAAUAAAUAAAAA